RNAcentral lists this microRNA precursor (98 nucleotides) under Loxodonta africana (African savanna elephant). RNAcentral's name for it is "mir-544 microRNA precursor family". It matches the Rfam family "mir-544 microRNA precursor family". Lineage: Eukaryota; Metazoa; Chordata; Mammalia; Proboscidea; Elephantidae. The record is from Rfam by way of RNAcentral.
AUCACCCUGGGAUCAUGGUAAAAUGCAGAUUCUGAUUCAGUAGGUGGGAGGAAUAGCCUGAGAGUUUGCAUUUCUAACAAGCUCCCAGGUGAUGUAGA